GACGAACCGUCCUAACGUUAUUCGGAAUCACUGGGCUUAAAGGGCGCGUAGGCGGCCCUGCAAGUCGGGGGUGAAAUCCCACAGCUUAACUGUGGAAGUGCCUCCGAUACUGCGGGGCUCGAGCGAGGUAGGGGCAGCUGGAACUUCCGGUGGAGCGGUGAAAUGCGUUGAUAUCGGAAGGAACGCCGGUGGCGAAAGCGAGCUGCUGGACCUCUUCUGACGCUGAGGCGCGAAAGCCAGGGGAGCAAACGGG
RNAcentral lists this ribosomal RNA (253 nucleotides) under uncultured bacterium. Its description in RNAcentral is "partial 16S ribosomal RNA". It matches the Rfam family "Bacterial small subunit ribosomal RNA", at positions 524 to 776 of the family's 1533-position model. The record is from RNAcentral.